UUGGAGGGCAAGUCUGGUGCCAGCAGCCGCGGUAAUUCCAGCUCCAAUAGCGUAUAUUAAAGUUGUUGCAGUUAAAAAGCUCGUAGUUGAAUUUCGGGGUUAGUAGGUUGGUCAUGCCUCUGGUAUGUACUGGUCUCACUGAUUCCUCCUUCCUUAUGAACCGUAAUGCCAUUAAUUUGGUGUUGCGGGGAAUUUGGACUGUUACUUUGAAAAAAUUAGAGUGUUUAAAGCAAGCUAACGCUUGAAUACAUUAGCAUGGAAUAAUGAAAUAGGACGUUCGAUCUUAUUUUGUUGGUUUCUAGGAUUGACGUGAUGAUUAAUAGGGAUAGUUGGGGGCAUUAGUAUUCAAUUGUCAGAGGUGAAAUUCUUGGAUUUAUCGAAGACUAACUACUGCGAAAGCAUUUGCCAAGGAUGUUUUCAUUAAUCAAGAACGAAAGUUAGGGGAUCGAAGACGAUCAGAUACCGUCGUAGUCUUAACCAUAAACUAUGCCGACUAGGGAUCGGAUGAUGUUAAUUUUUUAAUGACUCAUUCGGCGCCUUACGGGAAAC
RNAcentral lists this ribosomal RNA (549 nucleotides) under uncultured Rhizophagus. Its description in RNAcentral is "SSU rRNA". It matches the Rfam family "Eukaryotic small subunit ribosomal RNA", at positions 548 to 1098 of the family's 1831-position model. Lineage: Eukaryota; Fungi; Glomeromycota; Glomeromycetes; Glomerales; Glomeraceae. The record is from RNAcentral.